RNAcentral lists this ribosomal RNA (462 nucleotides) under uncultured bacterium. RNAcentral describes it as "bacterial SSU rRNA". It matches the Rfam family "Bacterial small subunit ribosomal RNA", at positions 29 to 506 of the family's 1533-position model. The record is from RNAcentral.
AUGAACGCUGGCGGCGUGCCUUAUGCAUGCAAGUCGAACGGCCUCCAGUGCCGCAAGGUGCUGGAGCAGUGGCGAACGGCUGAGUACUACAUAAGUAACCUACCCUCGAGUGGGGAAUAAUCCCGAGAAAUCGGGACUAAUACCGCAUAGCCUGGCCUGACAAAAGUUGGGUUAGCAAAGAUGCAAAUCGCUUGAGGAGGGGCUUGUGUCCUAUCAGGUAGUUGGUGAGGUAAUGGCCCACCAAGCCUAAGACGGGUAGCUGGUCUGAGAGGAUGUCCAGCCAGAUGGGGACUGAGAAACGGCCCCAACUCCUACGGGAGGCAGCAGCAGGGAAUUUUGCGCAAUGGGCGAAAGCCUGACGCAGCGACGCCGCGUGAGGGAUGAAGGCCUUCGGGUCGUAAACCUCUUUUUAUGGGGACGAGCAAGGACGGUACCCAUAGAAUAAGCCCCGGCUAACUACGU